Molecule: long non-coding RNA, 1776 nt
Organism: Zophobas morio
Lineage: Eukaryota; Metazoa; Arthropoda; Insecta; Coleoptera; Tenebrionidae
Exons: 4
Source: RefSeq, a predicted model, not a curated record
GAUUAGAAAUAAUUUUUACAUUCGUUUGUGUUAAUAUUGUCCCAUUUCAUGUUGAAAAACUAUAUUUAUUUGAUAAUUCAUUUUGAACAGCGACGCGGGUCCGAGAUUAUAAGAAUGCGCGCGCAUUUAUUAAAAUAUGAAAUUUGGAGUUACGAAUCGUAGGCUGGAAUUUCAAGUACACGUCGUUGAAAAUGUUAGGUUAGUUUGAUACGUAGCCCAAGACUUAAUUAUUGCACUGUUUGUUUAUAUGUGUUAGGUUAUAAACAGCCUAAACGAAACCGCGAGAUUUGUCAGAAUUCAAGAUGAAAGCUAGUGUUUUUCUGGUACCUGCUUUAAUAGGUUUUAAGACUACAGUUCCUACACUACAUUAGUAAAAUUUUACAAUUGCUACUUUGAGGGAUUGUCGGACAAUACAGGGGGAUGACGCCAGUAAAAGGAGCCUGCAGCUAGUGUAUAGUGGGCUAGAAACAUCGAGGGUUGCAUGAAAUUAUGAUUUAUACCUUCAUGAUUAACUUUGAAAUACCAACAAAGAUAUGAUUUUGAGACAGAAGGAAGAAAUGGGCUAAUUUAGCACUGUGAACAGUUGACUGGAGUACUAUAUAGUUACACUGUAUACUAUGUUCUUGUUAGUGUUAAAAUAUUGUUGACAUUAUAAUUUAAAAAAUGGCUUUCAAAAUGGUGUAUUGUUUUUUUUUAAAUUGGUUUCACCAUUCAAAAACUUAAUUUACAUAUGAAUCAUGUACACUUUUUUCUAUUCUAAAAUAUUUACUGAAAAAAAAAUGUGUCAAAGGUAGCUCUUGAAUUUUCUUUCAAAAUAUGCGAAAAAACUUAAAAGGGGAAUUUACAACAAGCAAGAUCGUUUUUCAGUAAACACAACAGAAUUUUAUGAACUUACACAAGACUAAAAAAGAGCCAGUAACGCAGUGUACAUUUUCUCGUCUUCAAAUCAUAUAUUUUCAUAAGCUGCCGUUUAUAAAUGAAAUAUAAUUCUUAAAAGUGAAAUAAAUAUUACAAUAAUGUUAUCUUCAAGUGUAAAAAAAACAAUAACAAUUGUUUUAAAGACAAGGAGAAGAAUGGGAAAUUAUAAAGAAGAGGGCCAAGUGAACACAAAUGAGAAUACAUCUUUAUCUGAGAUCCAUUUUCCAGACGAAAUGUAACAGAAGACAACAAUUGAUACUUUUUUUCUCACCACCUGAAGGAAGAAAACAGAAAACACCAGCAUUGAGGGUUUCAGUUCCAAAAUUAGCAUCAGGUGAAAUGGUGAAACUUAUCUACUAAGAAAUUGAAAAUAAACACCUGGUUCACCAGAUUUUGCUCCUCUCGAUUUCUCUAUAAUUUGGAUGAACUAAAGGAAGAAAUUACAAACUACUGCAUUAACAUGAUCAAGAAAUGCUCCAGAGUAUUUUGAAAAUCAUGUAACAUAUUGUUGCCUAUAUUAAGUUUAAUUUUUUAUAAAAAGUCAUAUAUGUCUUAACAUAAAGAAUUAAAUGGCAACUAAGUAACUCAUUUGUUUUAAGCAAUUAUAUUUUAAUUUUAUAACUGCAUUGUUCAAUGUUGCAACAUUUGAAAGAACUGUUGUAAUAAUUUUAAAUGUGAGUUGUUAAACUACAGAUAUGAAAGCAUGUUAUGCGUGCAUUUCAAAUGAGAAAAAUUAUUUGAUCACGUCAUUAACAUUUUAAUAAGGCUACAUAACUGUAUUAAUUUAAAUAGAACAGUACUGUAGUCUUUUAGUCGAAAAGUUGGCAACGACAUCACAUUUUGUUUUAAAAAGCUCAC